UUUAUGGAGAGUUUGAUCCUGGCUCAGGAUGAACGCUGGCGGCGUGCCUAAUACAUGCAAGUCGAGCGAACGGACGAGAAGCUUGCUUCUCUGAUGUUAGCGGCGGACGGGUGAGUAACACGUGGAUAACCUACCUAUAAGACUGGGAUAACUUCGGGAAACCGGAGCUAAUACCGGAUAAUAUUUUGAACCGCAUGGUUCAAAAGUGAAAGACGGUCUUGCUGUCACUUAUAGAUGGAUCCGCGCUGCAUUAGCUAGUUGGUAAGGUAACGGCUUACCAAGGCAACGAUGCAUAGCCGACCUGAGAGGGUGAUCGGCCACACUGGAACUGAGACACGGUCCAGACUCCUACGGGAGGCAGCAGUAGGGAAUCUUCCGCAAUGGGCGAAAGCCUGACGGAGCAACGCCGCGUGAGAGAUGAAGGUCUUCGGAUCGUAAAACUCUGUUAUUAGGGAAGAACAUAUGUGUAAGUAACUGUGCACAUCUUGACGGUACCUAAUCAGAAAGCCACGGCUAACUCAGUGACAGCAGCCGCGGUAAUACGUAGGUGGCAAGCGUUAUCCGGAAUUAUUGGGCGUAAAGCGCGCGUAGGCGGUUUUUUAAGUCUGAUGUGAAAGCCCACGGCUCAACCGUGGAGGGUCAUUGGAAACUGGAAAACUUGAGUGCAGAAGAGGAAAGUGGAAUUCCAUGUGUAGCGGUGAAAUGCGCAGAGAUAUGGAGGAACACCAGUGGCGAAGGCGACUUUCUGGUCUGUAACUGACGCUGAUGUGCGAAAGCGUGGGGAUCAAACAGGAUUAGAUACCCUGGUAGUCCACGCCGUAAAC
RNAcentral lists this ribosomal RNA (824 nucleotides) under Staphylococcus aureus. Its description in RNAcentral is "bacterial SSU rRNA". It matches the Rfam family "Bacterial small subunit ribosomal RNA", at positions 1 to 807 of the family's 1533-position model. Lineage: Bacteria; Bacillati; Bacillota; Bacilli; Caryophanales; Staphylococcaceae. The record is from RNAcentral.